UCGCUGCACCCCACUUUAUACAUAUACACUAAGCAUACAUAGCUGAAAUAAAUUUAAUACACAGGAAUGUGGUUACAAUAAACAACAAAAGGAUUUGCUUGAUACUGCAAAUAUAUGGCCAGGUCCGUUUCCAUGGUAUUUUAAAUGUUAAUAUGAAAAGUGAACAAAGACUAAAAUUCACUCCAGCAAACACACAAAAAUAAUACAGAAGGAAAGAUUGAAAGCAGCCAUGGUACAACCUCCAAAAAUGAAAACCAUGCAAAUUAGCCUUUGCAAACAUUUAGAAAUAGAGGUUGUUCGAAAUAAUGUCCCAAAAUGAUAUCAAUAACCCAAAUUGUGUGACCUUGCCCACCUAAACUUCAGCAGACCGGACAAAACAUGCCAAUCGUCUUUGCCUUUCAUCAUAUCCCGAUCAUUAGCACAUCCACAUGCGAGCUUGUUAGACGACAUUAUCAUGACGCUGAUGAAGAGCCAUGUAAUUUGCUUAGAAAUGCACAAAGCAAGAGAAAUAUCAGCAUAAAUAAUAAAGAAAAAAGCAUCAAGUUACUAUCUUCAGCUAAGUACUACAAAGCACCACAAGUUAAAAGAGUCAAAUUAUAUGUGUAUUCCCUCUUAAGUUCACAACAAAUGUACCAAAACUGGAAAACAUAGGCAAAAACCAUGUCUCGAUAACGGAUCUUGAAAUAAAGAAAGAAUGGCAAGUCUAAAUUGUAUUGCAUCUGUUAUGUAUCAGGCUAUCAUACAAGAGUGGUGGUUCUGCAAACCAAUUGGUAUUUUUCAGAAGUUGUGUCUCCAUAGGAGAGAAUGUGGCUAUGAUUAUGAAAACACGUAAACAUUCUAGUUUACUGCUUAGGUGUCAUGUAAAAGCAUUCAAAAUGAAAAUGUUGAUUUGCCAACGCAAAGAAAUAUAUAGGAAUACAAGUAGAUCGACCAUGAAAAACUUCAAGUAUUGUGCUAUGAGAAUAGUACUUCUACAUAGAUGAUCUAGUGUCUCCAAUUACAGAACUGCUUAAACCAAACUCAUGAUUAUGAUUUAACAAUGAACAGAACCUUCAAGUGUUGUGCUAUGAGAAUAGCCAGUAGAGAUUUUAGAAACCAUAAAAAUCAGAUCUUUUUGUGUGCGUGCCACAUCAAUCAAGCCGGACAUAUUACAGAGCAGAUGGUGGUUAAGGAGCAUUGCCAAUUUGGCAUCUUAAAAUUCAAAGCAUGGGUAUUAUGUUGCCAGACAGGUGUAUGUAAAGCUUCAGAAAUCAGGUGUGUGUUUUAGAGCAGGGUAUCCAACAUGACUAAUAGAGUAAUCACUAAACACUAAGCUGCCCUAUCUAAGUAAUCAGGGUACCUGGCCAAGCUUAACUUAAGCCACAUGGUUGACGAUGAAAGUAAACUGCACAUAGGUGAAUGCAAGGUGGAGUGUCCUGACCUGGUAACACAAUAAGCAUAUUAUAACAGAUGAUAUGAGCAGGUAUAACUGGGAAUAUUCAGGAGACUAAUUUUUAAAAGAUCAAAUAAUAUUCUUGAUUUAGUAAUAUAAGUAAGGUAUCCGAGUAAACAUAUUAAAUAUGAAUUUUGAUGUCAAUAUUACUGUGACCAUCGUAGCACAUGAGGCACCUGCCUAGUUCUUCUGUGCAUUUCAUCAAACACAUAACAUAGGCAUGGGGGAAUGGAGUGUUGAUUAUUUGUCUAAAGUAUGAUCAGACCAAUGGUGGGAUUAGUACCAUCUAAAGCUAGAAUAUACCAAUCCAAAUGGCGAUUCCGAAGUUCUUAAUGAGAAAACUAAUUAGUUCAUCAUAGAGCAAUACAUGUAGGUUUGGGAACAAUUAGACGCACAGACAGAUUACAGACCAUUUGCAAAACCUGACAAUUAAAUCUCCCCCCUGAAUUUCACAUAGGAGGACAUCGUACUGUCAUCAUUCAAAAUGUUUGUAUCUAUAUUAUUUUGCUCAUCAUGCGUACCAUGCAUAUGUUGUUGUUCAUCCUAUAUUCAAUCACAACAAUGUGCUACCAGGAACUCAAUUAGUGCUGCAGGAAAGUACUAAAUAUUGCGAUAAAAUUACUAAAUAUCACUAAUGGCUGUACCAGCCUAAUUGACAAACCAACCUAGACUAUAUUAGUCAAUAUCUAUCCUUGAAAGUCCUGCAUUCCCCCUCCCUUUGCCCUAACAAACCUCUGUACACUUAGCAGAUAAGUCUAACCUGAAAGUAUAGUAAUCAAAGAGACCAACUUCCAACCGAGAAAUGUGUCCUCCUUUUGCUGCCAGCUCAAAAAGGACUAAUGUGCCUUUACUUUCUAUGGAUCAAGAACACUUCAACAAAUUUCCACAGUCCACAUCAAGUGCAACAAACACCUCGCUAAGAUCCAUGAAUAUGUUAAUAUUUCCUUGCACUUCUAGUCGGCCAGUGCUCAUGACGGAAUACUUGUCAAAUUUGGCAAAAGACACACUACUCUUGCACAUAAACAAAUUUGGGCAAACACGAACUCGAGUUCCGAUCAUACCCAAUAUGAACAGUUUUGAACAAAUUCUGAAAAUAAAAAUAAAUUUGAUCAGAAACAAAUUAUCAAAUUAAUCGGCAUGUUUCCAUCUCUUUAGAUUCAGUCAUAUUCAGUCAAUUUCUCCCGCAGCACAAAUAAUUGGAAGCUGAAUCACACGGGGAAUAGAACAUAAUGGGAAAUUAAUUCACUCAGAGAUGGAGAAAUGGUGGCGCUAGGCGUGCGGUACCUAGAGGCCGUGCUGGUUGAGUCCCUUGACGGCGAUGGCGGCCCUUAGCAUCGAGCAUGCGGACAAAUGUCGUGUAGACCCCGUCGAAGCCGCCCUCGUCGCCCAGAUAUGAAAUGAAAGAGCCUGCAUUCAUUGUCCAAUUAUCCUUUGACCAUCUAUGUCACUGCAUCUGACCUCUACUUGAACUAUUACUAUUGAAAACAAAAAAUACACUGCAUACGUACCAAGAACAGUAAUCCUUGAUUUUCCUUUGCAUAGCAUAAUCAGAUAUUACAAAGGACAACACAAAGCUUACAUAGACAUGAUAACCAACAGAAGUGCAUGCAUAAAUCAGAAACUAUGGAUUAAAGAUUUACCAUCAAUUAGUUGGUCACUAAGAAGGACAUAUAUGGAUGGAUUCACUUAAUAGCAGUCACCAUGUAUAUCACAUUAUCAUCUAAUCAAGAAAAUUGCUUGACAAAUCAGAGAUUUCGAGUAAUGUUUGAACAAUGGCAUAAAAAGAAAUCUGAAUCACAGGUAGGUAAACAUUGCAAGUACUACAACUGACCAUGCAUAUUUAAACUGAUUUCCUUCAUGAGAAUUUCUAGUUCAGUACCCAUGUUUUUCUAAAUUUGGCAUGUGCUUACUAACAUGACAUACCGAGCCAUGAAUCUUAUUACUGAGCUCUGGUCAGCCAAAAAAUUAGAAGCUUUAAACCAAACAUGAGAUUAGUGUAGGCAGAUCAAAUGGUAAGAGGCCAAGAUACAAAUACUUCAAUAGUGUAGUAACCUAUAUGCAUCGUAUAAACCCAAGUCAUGCUUUCUGAAUGUAUAUAUAUAAGAUACAGAGUGGCAACAGAAGAGAUGCCAUAAUAGCAUCAGUUUCUUUUUGUAAAGAACAAUGGAUUUACACAUGCUAGUAAUUAACUUGGAGGAUCAUGUACUACACUGGCAAAAAUCUAAUGAUCCAACAUCACACUAACAUAUGUCAAUCACAAUAAAAAGUAUAAAGUUUUCUCAUAAAACAUGACUCUUGCCUAAUACCUGCAAAGCACAAUCUGGAUGGAACUAACAAAACCAAUCAAGCACAUAACCGUAGCAGCCCCUAACUCCCAGUGAAUGUUUAUUGACCAAUUCUCAAUUGCAUUCUGCAAAAGACAAACAAUAAUAUCAGUUUACAACCUGCUUGGAUUUUCAUCGAAUAUUUCUCAGUUCCUAAUUCAGAAAUGAUGUGACUGGAAUUUCCAAGUCAAUGAAGCCUAAUAAUUCAUUAAUAGGAUCAUUUCAUCUCAACAACUCAUAUUAAGUGAGUGUUAAUAUUUCAGCAGCCUGGUCAUCUAUUCACCUAAACAGAGGUAGACAAAGUUAGAACCAUAGUGGGGUUGCAACAUCCAACCAAACCCUGCAGAACAGUGAAAAUAAAACAAUUAGGCGAGUAGAUAAAAGUGUUAUUUAUUAGAUCCAGCAUAUACAAGAAAACAUCCAGAGGCAAUCAAAUUAUAUUCUGAUCAUGAUCAAAGGUGCAACACAUGCCAGUAGACAGUGUUGAUGCAAUAGACAGUGAAAUUUCCAUGAAGCUGGGAGGAGAUGUUUAAAAAUGUUGUGUGUCGUUUAAACACUACCAACUUAGAGAACUGAACCUCAGCAAGAACAUGAUCCUCUCUCAGUCUCUUCCUUUUAGAACCAAAUCAAGAUAAAUCCACUACAAACAAAUUUUCUUACAGGGCAACAGAGUUUCACCUUCUAGUAUGCAGAACAAUCCUAUCACUCAGCCAGUAUUAGGUCAGCCAUGGCCACAUUUUAUCCGGUGGGGAAUUAACUUGGGAUUCAU
Molecule: long non-coding RNA, 4525 nt
Filed under: Triticum aestivum (bread wheat)
Lineage: Eukaryota; Viridiplantae; Streptophyta; Magnoliopsida; Poales; Poaceae
Description: long non-coding RNA (TAES_LNC023045)
Source: RNAcentral